RNAcentral lists this long non-coding RNA (631 nucleotides) under Rattus norvegicus (Norway rat). RNAcentral describes it as "long non-coding RNA NONRATT029065". The record is from RNAcentral. Lineage: Eukaryota; Metazoa; Chordata; Mammalia; Rodentia; Muridae.
CGGCGGCCGCAGUGCAACUUCCAGAUAACGGAGUAGCCUCAGCUGGGAGUCAGUGGUGGCCGCAGCGCCCCUCAGGACACCCGAAGAUCACCUUUUCCCUCCACGACUUCUCCACGGCUGAGUGUUGUGUACCAGCAUGUCCACGGCCAAUGUGUAUCCCUCCACCCUAUGCUGACCUUGGCAAAGCUGCCAGAGACAUUUUCAACAAAGGACUUGGCUUUGGGUUGGUAAAGUUGGUCGUGGAAACGACGUCAUGCGGCGGUGUGGGGUUUUCAAAAUCUGACUCCUCUAAUGCAGACACUGGCAAAGUCAGUGGGACCCUGGAGACCAAGUACAAACGGUGUGAGUAUGGUCCGACUUUCAUCAAGAAAUGGAACACUGGACAACACUCUGGGGACAGGGAUUGCAGUUGAAGACCUGAUUUGUCAAGGUUUGAAACUGACCUUGGACACCACGUCUUCACCGAACACAGGAAAGAAAAGUGUAAAAAUCAAGUCUGCUUACAAGAGGGAAUGUACAAACCUUGGCUAUGAUGUUGAUUUUGAUUUUGCUGGACCUGCCAUCCAUGGGUCAGCUGUCUUUGGUUACGAGGGCUGGCUUGCUGGGUACCAAUUGACUUUUGACAGUGCCA